AGAGUUUGAUCAUGGCUCAGAUUGAACGCUGGCGGCAUGCCUUACACAUGCAAGUCGAACGGCAGCACGGGAGCAAUCCUGGUGGCGAGUGGCGAACGGGUGAGUAAAGUAUCAGAACGUGCCCAGUCGUGGGGGAUAACGUAGCGAAAGCUACGCUAAUACCGCAUACGAUCUAUGGAUGAAAGCGGGGGAUCGCAAGACCUCGCGCGAUUGGAGCGGCCGAUAUCAGAUUAGGUAGUUGGUGGGGUAAAGGCCUACCAAGCCGACGAUCUGUAGCUGGUCUGAGAGGACGACCAGCCACACUGGGACUGGGACACGGCCCAGACUCCUACGGGAGGCAGCAGUGGGGAAUUUUGGACAAUGGGCGCAAGCCUGAUCCAGCAAUGCCGCGUGCAGGAUGGAGGCCUUCGGGUUGUAAACUGCUUUUGUACGGAGCGAAAAGGCUUCCACUAAUACUGGAGGCUCAUGACGGUACCGUAAGAAUAAGCACCGGCUAACUACGUGCCAGCAGCCGCGGUAAUACGUAGGGUGCAAGCGUUAAUCGGAAUUACUGGGCGUAAAGCGUGCGCAGGCGGUCUUGUAAGACAGGUGUGAAAUCCCCGGGCUUAACCUGGGAACUGCACUUGUGACUGCAAGGCUGGAGUACGGCAGAGGGGGAUGGAAUUCCGCGUGUAGCAGUGAAAUGCGUAGAUAUGCGGAGGAACACCGAUGGCGAAGGCAAUCCCCUGGGCCUGUACUGACGCUCAUGCACGAAAGC
Molecule: ribosomal RNA, 757 nt
Filed under: uncultured bacterium
Lineage: Bacteria
Description: bacterial SSU rRNA
Rfam family: Bacterial small subunit ribosomal RNA
Source: RNAcentral